This is a small nucleolar RNA of Homo sapiens (human), 104 nucleotides long. It matches the Rfam family "Small nucleolar RNA U13". The record is from Rfam. Lineage: Eukaryota; Metazoa; Chordata; Mammalia; Primates; Hominidae.
AUCUUUUUGUGAUUCAUCAGCAUGAUGAUUGGGUCUUCACACAAAAGUUUAAGAUGUGCCUCCCUCACAUCUUAUUAUCGUGUCAGCAUAUUUCCUGUCUGAAG